AGUCACAAAUAUGACAUUCAUUAAAGGGCAAAAUGUCUCUACUGCCCCUGUUUUAAAAUUAAUUAAACAAAUGGAAAAAAGAAAAAAAAAUCAGAACGCCUCUCUCUCUCACACGACGCGACGGCCAUUUUUCUUCUCGGUCUCUUCGACGCGACGGCUACAACGCUCUCCGAUUUCUUUUAUCAUUUCCGGUGAUCAUCUCAUGAAGAUUCGAUUCUCCAAGCUUGCAGGGACGACACUCUCUUCUUCUUCUCUCUCAAUCUGAUGCCGUCGCUGUCACCGGAGGAAACAAGCUUUGUCAUCUAACAAUGAUCCCUUCCGCAGCGGUGGAAGAGAGGAUUCAAAUCCACAGCGAAAUCAACGGCCAUUCGCUUCGUUCGACUCGGAUCGAUCUCACCAGCUGUUAUGAAAAUGAAUCCUAUCCGGUUUCCGUAGUAGAAGAGCUGGAUUCGGUUGUUGCAGUGAGAGAAAGCCGCACGGUUGGGGUUUUCUGACGGAGGAGAGUUGGGAGUAGGUAAAGCUGAAGGAGCUGUUGGUCGCAGAGAACGACAAGACUUGAAGUUGACGGAGAUCUCGAGAUCUCUUGGUUUGAAGACGAUGAGGUGUAAGUAGUCAAAGCUGUGUUUCCUCACUACACAUGGAGUUAAAAGAUUCUCGACUCCAUAUUCAACAUUCUCUAUAAACGGUUGUGAAAUCCUUAGGUGAGAGUUGUGUUUGGUAAAAUCAAGUGAAUUCUAUUUUUUUUACAUGGACUCUGACGAAAUACGUUCCAUUCUACGUUGGAUCUGAGUACAUGAUUGCCAUCAUUUUACUUUUACUUUUUGUUUUUGGAGUUUUCAAUUCAUUUAGGAAGCUACUGUACGUAUUCAGGAUAGUCUUCCUGAUUGUUGCAUACAGUGUCUCUAUCCGAGUCUAAAGCUAUCUCUGAUGUUCUGCUUAUGCCUAUUGAAGUGACGUAACUUGAGAAUAAAAAUUGAGCAUGUGUUUCUGAUCUUGUAAAAAAUUACCUCCUCUACUAUCUGAGGAAAUUCUGUUCCAAGCUGAGACGAGGAUGAGAGCAAGAGGGACCCAGAUGCAGCAGCUCUCUGUUGCGGAUAUUGGAAUUCAACUCUUUAAUCUUGCUAUAUUGGAUAGCUUUUGACAUUUUCAGGAUGGGUUUCCAAAAAAAAAAAAGUGUGUUUUCUUACAUAAGUCUGUUUUCGAAGAAAAUCAAAAGCGUGUAAAAAGUGUUAGACAUUAAAAUGUGAUAGCUUGAAGCAAUUUCAGUAAUUU
Molecule: long non-coding RNA, 1272 nt
Organism: Raphanus sativus (radish)
Lineage: Eukaryota; Viridiplantae; Streptophyta; Magnoliopsida; Brassicales; Brassicaceae
Exons: 3
Source: RefSeq, a predicted model, not a curated record